RNAcentral lists this small nucleolar RNA (84 nucleotides) under Smittium mucronatum. Lineage: Eukaryota; Fungi; Kickxellomycota; Harpellomycetes; Harpellales; Legeriomycetaceae. The record is from RNAcentral.
UGUGAAUGAUGAAUAUAAGAUGUCAGUUCUGCUACUGAAUAUUUCAUGUAGAUAAUACAUUUGCUUACCAAAAACUUCUGAGAC